GGGCUUGACAUCCCACGAACCUGCCUGAAAGGGCGGGGUGCCCGCAAGGGAGCGUGGAGACAGGUGGUGCAUGGCUGUCGUCAGCUCGUGUCGUGAGAUGUUGGGUUAAGUCCCGCAACGAGCGCAACCCUCACCCCUAGUUGCCACCGGGUAAUGCCGAGCACUCGAGGGGAACUGCCAGCGUCAAGCUGGAGGAAGGCGGGGAUGACGUCAAGUCAUCAUGCCCCUUACGCCCUGGGCUACACACGUGCUACAAUGGCCGGUACAAAGGGACGCAAGACCGCGAGGUGGAGCUAAUCCCAAAAAGCUGGUCUAAGUUCAGAUUGCAGUCUGCAACUCGACUGCAUGAAGGAGGAAUCGCUAGUAAUCGCGCAUCAGCCCGGCGCGGUGAAUACGUUCCCGGGCCUUGUACACACCGCCCGUCACACCACGAAAGCUGUCUGUACUCGAAGUCGCUGAG
Molecule: ribosomal RNA, 460 nt
Filed under: uncultured bacterium
Lineage: Bacteria
Also listed under: 1 other name
Description: bacterial SSU rRNA
Rfam family: Bacterial small subunit ribosomal RNA
Source: RNAcentral